AAUUAUCUUAUGUUCACACCAGUUCUGAGGAGGAGAAUGAAGAUGUUGAGACUUCUUUGACGAAAUCUUUACCACGAUCAGUGACUCAGAGAAACAGAAGAAGUGCUGGUCUCGGGCAAGAAGCUGUUACUAAAACAAAGGAUGGCAAGGACAAGAAUGAAGACCUUAGUAAUGAAACAAAGAGUCUGAAAGAGUCUAGGGUGUGCUCCCCAAUCAAGGACAAGAGUAAAAAAAAACUAAGAGGAGGGACUGACUUGUCUGAUAAAGAGCUAAGUGGCCGUGAACAUCAUUAUUACCUGGAUGCAACAGAAGAAGGGAAUGUAGCAAGAUUUUUUAAUCAAAGUUCUUCUCCAAACCUCUUUGUACAAAAUGUUUUCAUAGACUCACAUAACAGAAAUUUUCCUCUUGUUGCUUUCUUCACUAGCAGGCAUGUCAAAGCAGGAACAGAACUAACGUGGAAUUGUGAUAGAAUGGAAGAUAUGUAACACAGAAGAAUAUGAAACACAGAUGAAUAUGAAAUUGAGAAUUCUUGAGAGACCGGACUGUUUGCAGGAAAAAAAAAAGAGUUAAAUGAAAAUUUUGACUACUGUAGUUAGCUUGUUGGUAUAUUGUGAGAAGCAAAUACUUGAGUAUAUAGUACACACUCUGUAAAAUAAUGUGGUUCCCUAAAAAGAUCUUACUAGAGCAUAGUCUUUUCAAAAAUGUGGGAUAACCAUGACUAUAUGGAUGUAAAUACCAGGGUUCCUUUUAUUUAUUUUUAUAUUUUGAAUGUUAUUUUAUGCUCUUUUUGCUAAACAUUUUAUACUGUUUCUGCAGAAAGUAAGUUGUUUAGUUCUAGAACCAAAGAACAAAUAAUUCUAAAAAAGAUAACGUGCUAUAAGGUACUGGGAUCUAACCUCAUAAACUAAGCUUUUCUUAUAGUGUACUAAACUACUAAUGUGUGUAGUUACAUUCCUCUUGAAAACUCAGAUCAGUGUGAACUGUAAUAUAAAACCACUUAUUUAUACAUUUGUAAAAACAUUAAUAUGCAAUACAGAUGAAUAUGUGCAUCCUUA
This is a long non-coding RNA of Polypterus senegalus (gray bichir), 1055 nucleotides long. RefSeq lists it as uncharacterized. Lineage: Eukaryota; Metazoa; Chordata; Cladistia; Polypteriformes; Polypteridae. The record is from RefSeq and is a predicted model, not a curated record. The transcript has 4 exons.